RNAcentral lists this ribosomal RNA (253 nucleotides) under uncultured bacterium. RNAcentral's name for it is "partial 16S ribosomal RNA". It matches the Rfam family "Bacterial small subunit ribosomal RNA", at positions 524 to 776 of the family's 1533-position model. The record is from RNAcentral.
UACGUAGGGGGCAAGCGUUGUCCGGAUUUAUUGGGCGUAAAGAGCGUGUAGGCGGCUAGGUAGGUCCGUUGUGAAAACUCGAGGCUCAACCUCGAGACGUCGGCGGAAACCAUCUGGCUAGAGUCCGGAAGAGGAGAGUGGAAUUCCCGGUGUAGCGGUGAAAUGCGCAGAUAUCGGGAGGAACACCGGUGGCGAAGGCGGUUCUCUGGGCCUGACCUGACGCUGAGGAGCGAAAGCGUGGGGAGCGAACAGG